UCCCACUCCCGCACCAGCCGUCACACAAACCCUAGCCUUGUUUUCCCUCGAUCCCCACAGCCUCCCGCUCCCCUCCUCCAUCCCCCUCCUCGCGUCACCACGGCCUCCGCCCUGGGAGCCCUGCCGCCGCCUCUCCUCCACCCCCUCCUCGCGUCGCCACGGCCUCCGCCCUGGAGUCCCGCCGCCGCCUGCUAUUCCUCCUCCACCACGCUAGCCCCUCUACCUCGUCUUCCUUCUCUUCAUUGUUGGUUCCAGAUCAAGCACGGGUUAGGCGAGCCCAGUGGUGGGGUGAAGGGGCAGGGGAAGAGGAGGUGGGUAACUAGGUGAAGGAGCAGGUCGGCCCUCCUAGAGGCGGCGCCGCCGCCCAGCCAGGGAGGAGGCCAGACUCUCCUCCAGGCUCGCCUCUGUUUUGCCCUGAGCAGCGGCAGCGCCUAUGCCUCCACCCCACCUUCUUUUCCAUGCCUCUUCCUUGGCAUGACAGGCAGAUUUUGAGGAUGGGGAGACCCCAUGGGCUAGGUGUCCUUCCUCCUCUUGGUGACAUAUAAGAGGACCUGCAACACUGAACCGGGAAGUCCUUUUUUAGGCAGUGGUCAUGGAGCAACAAUAUAUGCUGCGUGGCAUUGCAGGUUAUUUUCCGCCCCGGUCGAUCCAGGCACGGCGUUGGAUGGGAGAGAGCAGGGGAGGGCCAAGAGGCCAGCGGUGUGGGGUGGAGCAGCGAGGCCGAAGACCAGGCAGCGGACGCCUCACGGGGUGGAGGAGAGGUCGGAGAUAGGGAAAAGCAGCAUCUUCAUGGAUGAGAUCCUGACGGCUGAAGAUGGUGCACACGGGAGGAUCUUGGAAGAUGUCAAGGGGCGCCGCGAGGAGUGGAGUAAGCUAAAUACCUGACUGGCUGGAUCAUUUUUGGGCUCUUUACAGAUUUAUCGACUUCAAAUGGUUAUCUCAUAGUUGAAGCAAAUGGUGGUCUGAAUCAACAGUGUCUUUUUAUCUGCGAUGCAGUUGUUGUGGCCAGCUUGCUUAAUGCAACUCUUGUGAUCCCAAUAUUUCAUUUGAAUAGCGUUUGGCGCGAUCCUAGCAAAUUUAGUGAUAUUUUUGAUGAAGAUCGUUUUAUCGGGACACUCAGACAACAUGUAAGAGUUGUGAAGGAACUCCCAAAAGAUGUUCUACUGCGUUUCAAUCAUAAUAUAAGAAGCAUACCAAAUAUGCGAACUAAAGCCUACUCAUCCCCAGAUCAAUUAUUUGUUACACAUCGAGGCGCCAUAUUAGUGUUUCUUAUUAUCUACCUUGAUGCCAUACUAAUUUCUGUGAUUCCAAAAUUGCUGGCACCACUUCCUGUUGCCUGUUGGUGCAAGGACCCAUGCCUUCCAUCUGAGAAAUGUAAAGGAUGGAUCAAUUGGCAUUGUCAGCUCAUGUUUAGUUCUUUGUCUCUCAGACGACAUGCAUCUCUCAACACAAUCCUAGGUUAAUGAACUGCUAAAGCUACAAUGUAGAUGCAUUGUGACUUUAUUUUCUAGCUUUGUGGGCGAGUGAAUGCAUGAUGAUGGCAGCUUGGUGUUUGCAUAAUACAAGGGAAGGAGCUGCUGAGCCAACUCUCAUGUACUUCACAUGAGCUGAAAGAGGUCAAGUGCUAAUCGCAAUGUUGGUAUGAUGCUGCGAGGCAUGGGGUUUGACAAUACAACCUUCCUCUAUGUUGCCUCCGGUAAAAUAUACAAUGCUGCAAAAUACAUGGCUCCCCUUCGCCAGAUGUUCCCUCUUUUACAAACCAAGGACACUCUUGCAUUGUCUGAAGAGCUUGCUGAGUUUGAGGGGUACUCUUCUCGGUUAGCAGCAUUAGAUUACACCGUCUGUGUUCAGAGCGAAGUGUUUGUGACGACUCAAGGGUGGAACUUCCCUCACUUUUUGAUGGGACACAGGCGUUACCUAUUAGGAGGGAAUGCAAAGACAAUAAAACGUGACAAACGGAAGCUGGUCUUAUCUUUUGACGACCCAAAUAUCAGGAGUCGAUUCAAGCACCACAUGCUGGAAAUACUGCACCAUAGUGACAUAAGGGGCAUCACAUUCAGGAAACCUAAUGAUUCCAUAUACACCUUCCCAAUGCCUGAUUGCAUGUGCCAACAAGAUGGAAUAUGAUCUAGGCGUUAGCAUACAUAAUUGAGGUAUGCAUAUCCUCUACCUUUGUGCAACAAAGGCACCAAAGGCACGACAUUGUUGACUGCAUGAUUAGGAUUUGAUGGUCAUGAUGAAAACUGGAGUGAAAUAAAGCAUUUGGUGCUUCUCAGGAGAUUCUAAAACCCUCUGGCAUACCCCAAACCGUUCGAUUCUGGAUAUAAUGGUCAAAAGGUGCCUAAUGACAAUGAAUUCCAUAGGAUCAGAAAUUGAGAAGAUGUGAGGGAUUUUGUAAAGUUAGUAAUCUGUAGGUAGUCCACCAUAUAGCAAUCUCCAUUUGUUCAAUCUGUCUGUAGGUUGUUAAAGAAAAGAGCUACGAGAUUGGGUUGUAGAUAUGAGUACAACCUGAGUGCCUCAAUGUAUAUUAAAAAACAAGCGCUAACAACAACAAAGAAAGGAAUUUUCCAGUAUAUCAUUACUCC
Molecule: RNA transcript, 2585 nt
Organism: Triticum aestivum (bread wheat)
Lineage: Eukaryota; Viridiplantae; Streptophyta; Magnoliopsida; Poales; Poaceae
Gene name: O-fucosyltransferase 9
Exons: 11
Source: RefSeq, a predicted model, not a curated record